This 1218-nucleotide long non-coding RNA is filed under the name Canis lupus familiaris (dog). Its description in RNAcentral is "lncRNA (ENSCAFG00000050503.1)". The record is from RNAcentral. Lineage: Eukaryota; Metazoa; Chordata; Mammalia; Carnivora; Canidae.
AUGGAGGCCCAGAGGGAGGGAGAUCCUGGAGGGAGGGAGGCCCCAGGGUCAAUGUCCCAGAGGGAGGGAGGCCCCAGAGGGAGAAGGCCCCAGGGGGAGGGAGGCUCCAGAGAUACAGAGGCCCUGGGGCCAAUGUCCCAGAGGGAGGGAAGCCCGGAGGAAGGGACACCCUCCCCACCAGCGCCCGCAUCCACACCCAGCGCCACCCGGGCUACGCAGCCUGGAGGGCCGGCAAGCGGGGCGCCUGGGCAGAGGGUCCCACUGUCUGCGGGCGCUGCCUCUGAGCCCCGGGGUCAUGGAUGGUGCCCGCGGUGUUGUCAGCGUCAAGCGUCUGCUGAGCGUAGACCCUCCCCGCCGGCAGGUGGCUGUUCCUGGAAGGCAGGGUCCCAGGGUCCUCCGGGUCCCCGGCUGGGUCCUGCCCUCAAGGCAGUGGCCUUCAGAGGUGCACGUCCGUUGGCAGCCCCUCGCUGCGCCCCAGGGCUCUCGGCCUGCUCAUCUUCCCACGGAUGCUGCGUCCCGACCCCAAACGCAACGACGGCCACAACCAGACUGGGGACAGCUGUCCACACGGCUGCCUCCCGGGCGCCCCGCCCAACCCCAUUCACCCGUGGCUUCCCUCUGCCUCCCGCCCAUCCCCCGGGUCCACCAGCAGGUCCUGGCCGCCCUCCCUCUAGGCGCCCCCCGGAUCCACCCCCUCCGGGCGCCUCCCCCAAGCUCCAGGCCGGGCUGCAGCACCCCGCCGGGGCCCGGGCUUCGGCCCUGCCCCGCCCCCUUUCCCCGCCUGCCAUCCCUCAGCAGGGAGCACGUCACCGUGACCUCAAGGCCUCGAGCCUGACAGAGCUGUGGGGACAGACCCAGCGGGACGCACGGGCCCCUGCCAGCUCCUUGCACACGCUGGGCCUUCCGGUGGCUCCUUGGGCACCUGCCAGGGGCCGUGCCUCCCCCACGCGUCCCACCUACCAGGACACACCAAGCAGGGGUCGCCGGGGACAUCCUCCUCCUGCCUGCCGGCAUCUUCCCAGGGCAGUGAGGCCCACCCUGCCAAGCCGGUUCUCUCCCUGUCGCCCUGUCGCUCGCUCUGAAUCCCGCCCCAUCCCUCGCCUGUGCCCGGCCUCGGGGGCCAGCCCGCUGGCAUCUGCCUGCCGGGUGCUUCUCCUCCUCCGACGGCCGCUGCACCUGGACGUCCGGGGCCGUGGGACACACAUGAGACACCCCUGA